GGGAUUGGGGGCCAGGGCUGUGGGCUCCACACAGGUAUCAGCUUGCUCUAGGAGUGAAUUUAGACUUUAUAAUCCUCAUUCGACGAGCAUCAUUCAUCCAAUAAGCUCUUACUGAGCGUCUUCUUCUGUGUCAAAUGUUGUGCCAGGCUUUGGGGACACAGAUGUGAAGACAGGAUUACACAUGGAGGAACCUGGACUUUGGGGUACCUCAGGGUACAGAGUGUAAUCCCACCCCUUUAUCACCUAUGCCAAGCCAAUCAUGGAAUGGUAUGCCCCCAGCCUCAAUGAUGGCUUCCGAAGUGGGAACUUGACCUUAAGUGUUCUGAGCAGAGAAAAACCUAGGACUUUUGUCCCAUGGCAAAGGAAAAAGAGCUUUCUUCUGGAUGCUGCAGAAGGUAGAUGUGAUACCUGGCACAGCUGCAGUCAUUUUAUGACUAUGAGGAAGGCUGGAGGACAGAAAAGGAAACAGAAGAGAGAAGAGCCCUGAUCCAAUUCUGCCUACACAUGGCGGGUUGCCAGACUACAGUUUGAACAGCCUACACAUUCCUUUUAAAUAAAAGGAAGUGAUUUAAAUAAAUCAAUCUGUAGCCAAGAGCUCUAACUGAAAUGGGCAAGUAUUAUGUGCCUGCCAUUUACAUGACAAAUUUAAUUGAGUCCUCACAACAGCUUUUUAAUGUAGAAAUUGACAACCUCAUUUUACAGAUGAAAAUAUCAAACCUGGUGGUGAAAUGACUUUCUGAGGUCGCCCCAUUACAUAAGUAAGGGAUUUGGGUUCUAGAAGUUUGACUCCAACACCUUUUUGCUGCAAUACAAAGCUGCUUACUGUGUUGCAUGGGAAACUUCAUCAAAUUCUUCUCUCUCUUUGGGAUCCUCCUGGGAUUGUUUUUCCUGUUUUUGUUUUUGAAACUAGAGAAUGGAUCAAGUUUCAUUGCUGGGUUGACAAGGGCAUGCAGGGGCACAGGCCAUGUGAGGCAUGAUGCCAGACCCCAGGCCCUUGCAGAGAGUUUGGGGAAGCCUUCAGGACGUGUGGAAUUGCAGAGGCAGGACCACAAUUAGCUAGAUCUGAAGAGGCAGGGGACCCAGCUGCCAUCUGGGCUCUGAGUAGAAAAAGAGAAAUCAGAGCCUUAUAGAAAAGACAUCUGUACCUUGUUCUGCAGACAGACUUCCUGCUAUGAUGCACCUCCUUAUUUUUUGCAUACGGAGCAGGCUUGACAUUUAUGUAGAUUGAUUCCAACUUGGCAUUUUGACCAAAGGCGCUAUUAACCCUUUCCCUCCCGUCCUGGGGGAAAAAUGGCUUGUGGGGCCUGACCCACAAGUGACCCCAUCAGGCUGUUCCGGCCCUUUUCUGGCCUAGUCUCUGGCUGGGAAUGGAUGGCUUCUUUAUGACCCUGAGGAGGUAUGGCCAACAGGAAGCACAGUCGCUCUCUUCUGAGCUCAUUUUUCACCCUGGCUGGUUUUGCUGGAGAUGCAACCAAAGCUAAAUCUCAAUUUUGGGGGCAGGAGGAGCCGUCGGUGGAGUCAUCUGCACCUGGGCUGUUAGAUAAAACCUCCAUGCAGCCUCUAGAAGCCAAACUCAAGAUUUAAAGGGGAAGAGCUUUAUUUUGUUGACAAUUGCUUUACAAUUCACUUAGUAACA
This 1636-nucleotide long non-coding RNA is filed under the name Homo sapiens (human). Its description in RNAcentral is "HSALNT0223195". Lineage: Eukaryota; Metazoa; Chordata; Mammalia; Primates; Hominidae. The record is from RNAcentral.